AAGUCAUAACAAGGUUUCCGUAGGUGAACCUGCGGAAGGAUCAUUAAUAGUGCCCUUUGAUGCAAAUCAUUGGGUUAGAUCUGCUCUCUUCGCAAGAAGAGGGUUUCCAUACACACCGUGAACUGUGGCUUCGGCCAUCACAAACUGUUAGUAAUGAAUGUAAUAUCAUAACAAAAACAAAACUUUUAACAACGGAUCUCUUGGCUCUC
RNAcentral lists this unclassified non-coding RNA (209 nucleotides) under Vishniacozyma victoriae. RNAcentral describes it as "partial internal transcribed spacer region". The stretch from base 1 to 46 matches the Rfam family "Eukaryotic small subunit ribosomal RNA", at positions 1786 to 1831 of the family's 1831-position model. RNAcentral also lists the same sequence under 1 other name. The record is from RNAcentral. Lineage: Eukaryota; Fungi; Basidiomycota; Tremellomycetes; Tremellales; Bulleribasidiaceae.